AGAGUUUGAUCCUGGCUCAGGAUGAACGCUAGCGGCAGGCUUAAUACAUGCAAGUCGAGGGGCAGCACAGGUAGCAAUACUGGGUGGCGACCGGCAAACGGGUGCGGAACACGUACGCAACCUUCCUUUAAGCGGGGGAUAGCCCAGGGAAACUUGGAUUAAUACCCCGUACGAUUACGGUGUGGCAUCACAUUGUAAUGAAAGCUCCGGCACUUAAAGAUGGGCGUGCGGCUGAUUAGGUAGUUGGCGGGGUAACGGCCCACCAAGCCAACGAUCAGUAACUGGUGUGAGAGCACGACCAGUCACACGGGCACUGAGACACGGGCCCGACUCCUACGGGAGGCAGCAGUAAGGAAUAUUGGUCAAUGGACGCAAGUCUGAACCAGCCAUGCCGCGUGGAGGAUGAAGGCCCUCUGGGUUGUAAA
RNAcentral lists this ribosomal RNA (425 nucleotides) under uncultured bacterium. RNAcentral describes it as "bacterial SSU rRNA". It matches the Rfam family "Bacterial small subunit ribosomal RNA", at positions 8 to 429 of the family's 1533-position model. The record is from RNAcentral.